Molecule: ribosomal RNA, 429 nt
Filed under: bacterium
Lineage: Bacteria
Description: partial 16S ribosomal RNA
Rfam family: Bacterial small subunit ribosomal RNA
Source: RNAcentral
UGGGGAAUUUUGGACAAUGGGCGCAAGCCUGAUCCAGCCAUGCCGCGUGCGGGAAGAAGGCCUUCGGGUUGUAAACCGCUUUUGUCAGGGAAGAAAAGGUUCUGGUUAAUACCUGGGACUCAUGACGGUACCUGAAGAAUAAGCACCGGCUAACUACGUGCCAGCAGCCGCGGUAAUACGUAGGGUGCAAGCGUUAAUCGGAAUUACUGGGCGUAAAGCGUGCGCAGGCGGUUAUGCAAGACAGAGGUGAAAUCCCCGGGCUCAACCUGGGAACUGCCUUUGUGAAUGCAUAGCUAGAGUACGGUAGAGGGGGAUGGAAUUCCGCGUGUAGCAGUGAAAUGCGUAGAUAUGCGGAGGAACACCGAUGGCGAAGGCAAUCCCCUGGACCUGUACUGACGCUCAUGCACGAAAGCGUGGGGAGCAAACAGG